CCUACGGGGGGCAGCAGUGGGGAAUAUUGGACAAUGGGCGGAAGCCUGAUCCAGCAACGCCGCGUGAGGGAUGACGGCCUUCGGGUUGUAAACCUCUUUCAGCUCCGACGAAGCCUUUGGGUGACGGUAGGGGCAGAAGAAGGACCGGCCAACUACGUGCCAGCAGCCGCGGUAAUACGUAGGGUCCGAGCGUUGUCCGGAAUUAUUGGGCGUAAAGGGCUCGUAGGCGGUUUGUCGCGUCGGGAGUGAAAACACGGGGCUUAACUUCGUGCUUGCUUUCGAUACGGGCAGACUGGAGGCAUGCAGGGGAGAACGGAAUUCCUGGUGUAGCGGUGAAAUGCGCAGAUAUCAGGAGGAACACCGGUGGCGAAGGCGGUUCUCUGGGCAUGUCCUGACGCUGAGGAGCGAAAGUGUGGGGAGCGAACAGGAUUAGAUACCCU
This 440-nucleotide ribosomal RNA is filed under the name uncultured bacterium. RNAcentral describes it as "bacterial SSU rRNA". It matches the Rfam family "Bacterial small subunit ribosomal RNA", at positions 338 to 788 of the family's 1533-position model. The record is from RNAcentral.